This 678-nucleotide long non-coding RNA is filed under the name Phasianus colchicus (ring-necked pheasant). Its description in RNAcentral is "lncRNA (ENSPCLG00000010352.1)". Lineage: Eukaryota; Metazoa; Chordata; Aves; Galliformes; Phasianidae. The record is from RNAcentral.
AUGCUGUGCUUCCCCCGCUGCAGCCCUUUCCCCUUCCAGAUGCUCUGGGAGAGAGGCUGCCAUCCUUGUUUUGAUUUUGCAGCCCUACACCCCGAUGUUAUUUGGCCACAGCUGCGAUGCGAGCUCAGCUCCUCCAGGACACAGCUCAGUGCUCUGCCUCCUCCCGGAGCUGAUCUGCCUUCAGCAGGAGAAAUAUCCCCAAUUCCAAGGGCUCUGCUGCUCAGCAUCGCUCAGGCUGAGAUGGCAAUGACUUUGCCAACAGACACACGGAAAGGAGCUGUGUGGUGCCCAGCUGUGCUGUCACAGACUUCUCUAACAACCCCAAAUUUCAUGCCAGCACAGGGGGAGGCUGGGGCUCUGCAACACGCAUGGUGACAAUAGUGACAAUAGUGACAACAGUGACAUGCUUGGGCUCCCUGGGGAACCACCCAGAUGGAUUCGUGCUUGGAAAACUGACGCUGCAGCCUUCCUGAUGGAUUCCUCGGGCCACAGAGUUUGCAGUGAAUGCAAGAUCGUUGGUUUACUCUCAUUAUUUAUUAUGAUCAUUAUCCUUCCCCUUCCCAACUAGCUGAGGCUGCAGCCAAGCUAUAGGAUGCUUGCUGUAGGCUGGAAGCUCACAACAGCAAGAGCACUGGGAGAAGCACCCCAGAACAACAAAUAAAGGCUGGGGGGACUGCA